AUAGCGGAGGAAAGAAACUAACAAGGAUUCCCCUAGUAACUGCGAGUGAAGCGGGAAAAGCUCAAAUUUGAAAUCUGGCGGUCUUUGGCCGUCCGAGUUGUAAUCUAGAGAAGUGUUACCCGCGCUGGACCGUGUACAAGUCUCCUGGAAUGGAGCGUCAUAGAGGGUGAGAAUCCCGUCUCUGACACGGACUACCAGGGCUUUGUGGUAUGCUCUCAAAGAGUCGAGUUGUUUGGGAAUGCAGCUCAAAAUGGGUGGUAAAUUCCAUCUAAAGCUAAAUAUUGGCGAGAGACCGAUAGCGAACAAGUACCGUGAGGGAAAGAUGAAAAGAACUUUGGAAAGAGAGUUAAACAGUACGUGAAAUUGCUGAAAGGGAAACGCUUGAAGUCAGUCACAUUGACUAGGGAUCAGCCUUGCAUUUGCAUGGUGUACUUUCUGGUUGAUGGGUCAGCAUCAAUUUUGACCGCUGGAAAAAGGCUUGGGGAAUGUGACAGCUCUGGCUGUGUUAUAGACCCUUGUCAUAUACAGCGGUUGGGAUUGAGGUAUUCAGCACGCCGCAAGGCCGGGUUUUGACCACGUUCGUGCUUAGGAUGCUGGCAUAAUGGCUUUAAGCGACCCGUCUUGAAACACGGACCAAGGAGUCUAACAUGCCUGCGAGUGUUUGGGUGGAAAACCCAAGCGCGUAAUGAAAGUGAAAGUUGAGAUCCCUGUCGUGGGGAGCAUCGACGCCCGGACCAGAACUUUUGGGACGGAUCUGCGGUAGAGCAUGUAUGUUGGGACCCGAAAGAUGGUGAACUAUGCCUGAAUAGGGUGAAGCCAGAGGAAACUCUGGUGGAGGCUCGUAGCGAUUCUGACGUGCAAAUCGAUCGUCAAAUUUGGGUAUAGGGGCGAAAGACAAUCGACAU
This 905-nucleotide ribosomal RNA is filed under the name Lepiota alba. RNAcentral describes it as "partial large subunit ribosomal RNA". It matches the Rfam family "Eukaryotic large subunit ribosomal RNA", at positions 47 to 943 of the family's 3401-position model. The record is from RNAcentral. Lineage: Eukaryota; Fungi; Basidiomycota; Agaricomycetes; Agaricales; Agaricaceae.